Molecule: transfer RNA, 90 nt
Filed under: Candidatus Peregrinibacteria bacterium
Lineage: Bacteria; Candidatus Peregrinibacteriota
Description: tRNA-Ser
Rfam family: tRNA
About the family: Transfer RNA (tRNA) molecules are approximately 80 nucleotides in length. Their secondary structure includes four short double-helical elements and three loops (D, anti-codon, and T loops). Further hydrogen bonds mediate the characteristic L-shaped molecular structure. tRNAs have two regions of fundamental functional importance: the anti-codon, which is responsible for specific mRNA codon recognition, and the 3' end, to which the tRNAs corresponding amino acid is attached (by aminoacyl-tRNA synthetases). tRNAs cope with the degeneracy of the genetic code in two manners: having more than one tRNA (with a specific anti-codon) for a particular amino acid; and 'wobble' base-pairing, i.e. permitting non-standard base-pairing at the 3rd anti-codon position.
Source: RNAcentral
GGAGAGGUGGCUGAGUGGUCGAAAGCGGCGGUCUUGAAAACCGUUAGGGGUGCAAGCUCCUCGGGGGUUCGAAUCCCUCUCUCUCCGCCA